RNAcentral lists this non-coding RNA (40 nucleotides) under Trichobilharzia regenti. Lineage: Eukaryota; Metazoa; Platyhelminthes; Trematoda; Strigeidida; Schistosomatidae. The record is from RNAcentral.
CUGCUGAAGAGUCCCAAACUAGGACGAAACGGCUGUCCAG